RNAcentral lists this ribosomal RNA (253 nucleotides) under uncultured bacterium. RNAcentral describes it as "partial 16S ribosomal RNA". It matches the Rfam family "Bacterial small subunit ribosomal RNA", at positions 524 to 776 of the family's 1533-position model. The record is from RNAcentral.
UACAGGGGGGGCAAGCGUUGUUCGGAAUUCCUGGGCGUAAAGGGUUCGUAGGUGGCCAACUAAGUCAGACGUGAAAUCCCUCAGCUUAACUGGGGAACUGCGUCUGAUACUGGAUGGCUUGAGUGUAGGAGAGGAAUGCGGAAUUCCAGGUGUAGCGGUGAAAUGCGUAGAUAUCUGGAGGAACACCGGUGGCGAAGGCGGCAUUCUGGACUACAACUGACACUGAGGAACGAAAGCCAGGGGAGCAAACGGG